This 404-nucleotide non-coding RNA is filed under the name Zea mays. Lineage: Eukaryota; Viridiplantae; Streptophyta; Magnoliopsida; Poales; Poaceae. The record is from RNAcentral.
AGCAGAAAACAGUGAGGUCAAGAUAAGAGAGGAAAGAACUCAUUGUUUACAUGAUCAGGAAAUGGAAUGCCUAAGCUGUCCAGUUUCAGGGCUUCUCUUUCUUGGCAGGGAAGCAUGAGAUGCCAUAGCUCUCUGCUCUCUUCAACCCUCUGCCAAAGGAGAGUUGCCCUGUAACAGGACUCAGCUUAUGGUUCACGAUUGUAAAGACAGAUUCAAGCUUACACUGCAGCUUAGUGUUGUACCGGCCUAUGGUGGUGCAAGGUUUGAAUGCUUCGUAUUUUUACUGGCUUUAUUGCAUGUUUGUUCAAGCAGCCAAAGGAAAUUAGUUGAUUUCCUUUUUCAUGCCUUCCUUUGUGGUUUGCUAUUUCCUGAAUGUCUAGGCACUGGAUGCUUUUGGUUUUCUG